AGUCAAUAGAUACCCGGGUAGUCCACGCCGUAAACGAUGAGUACUAGGUGUAGGAGGUAUCGACCUCCUUCUGUGCCGCAGUUAAACACAAUAAGUACUCCGCCUGGGAGGUACGGUCGCAAGAUUAAAACUCAAAGGAAUUGACGGGGGCCCGGCACAAGCAGCGGAGCAUGUGGUUUAAUUCGAAGCAACGCGAAGAACCUUACCUAGACUUGACAUCUCCUGAAUAGCGCAGAGAUGCGUGAAGCCCUUCGGGGCAGGAAGACAGGUGGUGCAUGGUUGUCGUCAGCUCGUGUCGUGAGAUGUUGGGUUAAGUCCCGCAACGAGCGCAACCCCUAUUAUUAGUUGCUACCAUUAAGUUGAGCACUCUAAUGAGACUGCCCGGGGUUAAACCGGGGAGGAAGGCGGGGAUGACGUCAAAUCAUCAUGCCCCUUAUGUCUAGGGCUACACACGUGCUACAAUGGUGAGAACAACGAGAUGCAAUACCGCGAGGUGGAGCAAAACUUGAAAACUCAUCUCAGUUCGG
This 527-nucleotide ribosomal RNA is filed under the name uncultured bacterium. RNAcentral describes it as "bacterial SSU rRNA". It matches the Rfam family "Bacterial small subunit ribosomal RNA", at positions 775 to 1296 of the family's 1533-position model. The record is from RNAcentral.